AACGUGUACAUGGUGCAUUGAGUUGGUUGGAACCUCUCCAGUUAACUGUUAAUAAACAAUGAUUCAUUUAAGUUUGACUUCGAGUGUCCCUGUGUUGAAUUUCCAAGACAGGCUCAUCACCCACUCUGGAGGGCAUUGCUUUUACAGACGUCAGGCAACUCCAUCCACAGACUAAGACACUCUUCCAGGAGCAUUCCAGUCCAGUCCAGCCCAAGGGCAUUUCUCUCUCACACACCCUGCAGGCCAAUACUGGAACUACACCUACAAUAGGAGCAAUGAGUAGAGGAGAGCGAGCUAGAUGAAGUACAUCACAGUCAUGCCCUCGUGCUCUUGGGGGAUGUCUAUGCCUGCACUGUGGAGUUCUGGGAGCCUGAGCUGAGUGGGUCCGGUGCUGGUCCUGCUGUAUUGUCUGGAGUAGGCCUGACACUGGGGUUGCUAGGGGUGGCCACCGGAACAUUCCUCCUCGUCAAAGGAAACCAGCGCAACUGAGUCAUAUACUGUUAUGUUAAGUAACAGUUCUGUACAGUUUAUCUCAGUGUUUGUUCUCUCUUUUAUGAUCCACUACAUUUAAAGUCAAGUAAAGAGGAUGAUUUCACAUCCAUACUUUGACAUGCCUUUUCCAAACCUCUUUAAUUUGUCAGUCAAUCACCCACAGACAGUCAGGCACAUGUAUGUACA
Molecule: long non-coding RNA, 678 nt
Filed under: Salmo salar (Atlantic salmon)
Lineage: Eukaryota; Metazoa; Chordata; Actinopteri; Salmoniformes; Salmonidae
Description: lncRNA (ENSSSAG00000091695.1)
Source: RNAcentral